GAUGAAGAACGUAGCGAAAUGCGAUAAGUAAUGCGAAUUGCAGAAUUUCCGUGAGUCAUCGAAUCUUUGAACGCACAUUGCGCCCGCUAGUAUUCUGGCGGGCAUGCCUGUCUGAGCGUCAUUUCAACCCUCGCCCCCGGCUUUUGCUGGGAGCGGUGUUGGGGAUCGGCCGCCCGUCACUGGGAGGCCGGCCCCGAAAUAGAGUGGCGACCACGCCGUGUGCUCCUCUGCGUAGUAGUAAAUCACCUCGCAGGCGGACAGCGGUGCGGCCUGCCGUAAAACCCCCAACUCUUUCUGGUUGACCUCAGAUCAGGUAGGAAUACCCGCUGAACUUAAGCAUAUCAAUAAGCGGAGGA
RNAcentral lists this unclassified non-coding RNA (356 nucleotides) under soil metagenome. Its description in RNAcentral is "partial contains 5.8S ribosomal RNA, internal transcribed spacer 2, and large subunit ribosomal RNA". The stretch from base 1 to 121 matches the Rfam family "5.8S ribosomal RNA", at positions 35 to 154 of the family's 154-position model. The record is from RNAcentral.